Molecule: ribosomal RNA, 193 nt
Filed under: uncultured bacterium
Lineage: Bacteria
Description: partial 16S ribosomal RNA
Rfam family: Bacterial small subunit ribosomal RNA
Source: RNAcentral
GAAAUUCGCCUUCAUGAAGCCGGAAUUGCUAGUAAUGGUAGGUCAGCAUACUGCCGUGAAUACGUUCCCGGGCCUUGUACACACCGCCCGUCACACCAUGAGAGUUGGGAAUACCCGAAGCCUGUGAGCUAACUUUUAGAGGCAGCAGUCGAAGGUAGAAUCAAUGAUUGGGGUGAAGUCGUAACAAGGUACC